This 497-nucleotide ribosomal RNA is filed under the name uncultured bacterium. RNAcentral describes it as "partial 16S ribosomal RNA". It matches the Rfam family "Bacterial small subunit ribosomal RNA", at positions 28 to 507 of the family's 1533-position model. The record is from RNAcentral.
GAUGAACGCUGGCGGCGUGCCUAAUACAUGCAAGUCGAGCGAACGGACGAGAAGCUUGCUUUUCUGAUGUUAGCGGCGGACGGGUGAGUAACACGUGGAUAACCUACCUAUAAGACUGGGAUAACUUCGGGAAACCGGAGCUAAUACCGGAUAAUAUUUUGAACCGCAUGGUUCAAAAGUGAAAGACGGUCUUGCUGUCACUUAUAGAUGGAUCCGCGCUGCAUUAGCUAGUUGGUAAGGUAACGGCUUACCAAGGCAACGAUGCAUAGCCGACCUGAGAGGGUGAUCGGCCACACUGGAACUGAGACACGGUCCAGACUCCUACGGGAGGCAGCAGUAGGGAAUCUUCCGCAAUGGGCGAAAGCCUGACGGAGCAACGCCGCGUGAGUGAUGAAGGUCUUCGGAUCGUAAAACUCUGUUAUUAGGGAAGAAAAGAUGUGUAAGUAACUGUGCACAUCUUGACGGUACCUAAUCAGAAAGCCACGGCUAACUACGUG